RNAcentral lists this ribosomal RNA (253 nucleotides) under uncultured bacterium. Its description in RNAcentral is "partial 16S ribosomal RNA". It matches the Rfam family "Bacterial small subunit ribosomal RNA", at positions 524 to 776 of the family's 1533-position model. The record is from RNAcentral.
UACGUAGGGACCGAGCGUUGUCCGGAUUCAUUGGGCGUAAAGCGCGCGUAGGCGGCCCGGUAAGUCCGCUGUAAAAGUCAAAGGCUCAACCUUUGAAUGUCAGUGGAUACUGCCGGGCUAGAGUCCGGAAGAGGCGAGUGGAACUCCUGGUGUAGCGGUGGAAUGCGCAGAUAUCAGGAAGAACACCGACGGCGAAGGCAGCUCGCUGGGACGGUACUGACGCUGAGGCGCGAAAGCGUGGGGAGCGAACAGG